This is a non-coding RNA of Rhopilema esculentum, 4676 nucleotides long. Lineage: Eukaryota; Metazoa; Cnidaria; Scyphozoa; Rhizostomeae; Rhizostomatidae. The record is from RefSeq and is a predicted model, not a curated record.
AAAGGCCAUCUUUGUUGUUGGGAAGCAGCAGUGGAGACAUUUUCUUACAGAAGCGAGAAAAUUGUACUUCAGAGUGAGUGAAACUUGUGAGAUGUUAGAUGAUUGCCAGAGAUUCAUAUUUUUUCAAGGACCUCUUGAGAAUGUUAGCUGUCGUCCUAAUUUCCACUUGUGUAGUGAGCUCAAGAUGACUCGAAAUGACAUUUGAUUAUGACAUUUGAUUAAACAGACACAGACUGAAUCUCAAUCUACCUAGCUGUUGCUGUGUGCCUAAUCUAGAAUUAUGGUCAACCAAUAUUGUGACACAGACUGAAUCUCAAUCUACCUAGCUGUUGCUGUGUGCCUAAUCUAGAAUUAUGGUCAACCAAUAUUGUGACACAGACUGAAUCUCAAUCUACCUAGCUGUUGCUGUGUGCCUAAUCUAGAUUUAUGAUCAACCGAUAUUGUGCUUUCCACUUGGCUGUCAGUAAAGAGCUUCUUCUCUUGGAAAAUCUUUUCCAGUUCUUUGGAGUCAGACUUUGUCUUCAGAAGCCACUGCUCCAGGAUAUCUAGCGGAUAGUUUAACAGUUUACACACGGCAAGCACCCGAAUCUUCCAAUACAACAUCACAAACUGUUUACCUUGAGGAUCGUCGAGUUUUUUUAUCACAGCUCCCAAAUUUGAAAAGACCUCCCAAAAACACGUGUUAUGUUUGGAAGGAUUCACAUCUUUUAACUGCGGGGCUAUUCUGGUUAUCUCACCAACAUUGCAAAGCUGGUAGAAUCUCGUUCUACCUAUGUUAAAGCUGUCGGAUACGAAUCUUUCCAGUUUUGCUGUGCUGCAGGCGUCUUUGUCUUGCGAGCAGCGUCUUAGAUUGCAGAGGAUAGCAGCAAUGCUAAUUUGAAAAGAAAAGAAUUGAGGACAAGUUUUAAAUAGAGACUUUACGUGACUAACCAAAUCACACAUCGGACAGUCUGGGAUAUCGCAAGCUGAACCUAUGUUGUCUUUGAUGGUUGGCUGGCUUUCAUUAGGAUUCGUGUACCUACACUGUCUUGUGCACCUGCACAAGACCUUAAUAUUUUGCGAGUCCAAGUAAGAGAUCAGUGCUGUGUUUAUCCUGGUUCUGUCGGUGUUAUAUGUGAAGGCAGGCGAUGAGCAGAUUGCAGAGUUGGGACCAACUUUUGAUAAAAAACUUGCAGCUUUCUCAAAGUGCAACUUCUGCAAUGUCUCCCAAUCAUCCCUGUCAAUGCCAAGCAUUCGGGCAGCUUUGUUCAGCAUUGCAAGUAGCUGCUCUUCCUCAGUCAAGGAAAUCACCUUAGAAGCCUUUGAAUCCUCCGGAAUUGCUGCUUUUGCUGCUGUGGAUGCCGUUGCCCCUGAUGUAGAGGCUUCCCCUGAUGUAGCUGGCAUUGUACCUUCAGCUACAGGCAAUGACGCUGCAGACGAUGGCCGUGCCUUCCCCUUGGAUUCAGCUGAUUCCUUGAAGUGAGUCAUCUUGGAAGUAAGCUUUGAGGUAAGCAGUUUUUCAUUUUGUGAAUUUUCUAAUGGCCGGCCAUCGCCCAUCACUUCUUUGACAAUUCGAUCGGACAUCAACUGCGAGCUUUGCUCGUCAGCCUCAGCUUCACCUUCACUAACAUCUUCUUCGCUUGAAGGCAAGUGGCUUACACGUCUUUUCUGGACAAACUCGCUUAGCUCCCGGAGGGAUUCUUUUCCGAGAGGUUUGAAUUUAAGAAAAUCUAUACCAUACCUAGGGAGAAAUUAAGACUUUUUGUAACUAGCACUUUUUUAAAUUCUGGAGAUAAUGGAGAAGGCUGCCAUCCAUCCGAAAUGCGCUUUGCAAAAUGAAAUAACAAACAUGGAAUAACAUUAUAGUCAAGUCCAAAUUAUAUAGUAUUCAGCAUAGGUAGGAUGAAAUUCAAGAAACGCAAUACACUGAUAAUAUCAAAUGAUUGUAUUUUGAAAGCUAAUCUUCAUUUUUUGUUAGUAGUGCAGAACGAAAACUAUACAGUAUGUAUGUUUAUGACAAGAAAACAGCGUUAGGUAGAAUGAGAUUAACAUGAAUUGAGUGUUCAUAAUAACAUAAAGCUAUGGAGAUUUCACGCUAAAAAUUUCAUUUUUCUUUUCUAGACAUUUUCCAGCCCUGAUGAAGUUGCACUCACCGGUACAUAGCUUCCUGAAGACGUACAUUACUCCUUCCAAGUGCCUGUUUGAUGUUGAUAGAUGACAACCUGCUGUACGCCAGCUCCGUGACUGUAAGGCUUGUUUUCUCAAUUACAUCUUGGGAACAGAGGGACAAGACGUCUUCCUUGGCAAAUUUCCGAAGCAUCGCAUUUGUUACCUUGCUAGUGCAUGUGACAUUUGUCUCUGUAAAACCCCCAUGCUUGGCCUUGAUGAGCCGGCGUGGAAAUCCGUGUGUUAACUGGACACUUACAUCUGACCAAGAUGGUGCCCCCCAUAUCAUAACAUUGUCAAAUAGGUCUACCCGUGCGCAUUGGAGACAUUGAUCAUAUUCGAGAAUACCAGUUACCAGAGGCUCCAUCUGGUCUGUCGGCUUGCCUGAUUUGAGGAAAAUCUCCCACUUGUUAAGAGAUUUCCUCGCAUCAUCAACAGACUGCUCGUCAGCAGUGUCUCUUGUUGCGUCGAGAAAGCAAGAGUAAUCUUGCUUCCAGCAUCGGAUGCUUGCAUUUAACUGCUCACAACUUUUGAAUGUGUGUGCCUUUGGGUGCGCAGCCGUAGGCCGUUUGUUGUUUCCUUGCAGCCUGCACGGUAACUGCAGUGUGUCAUAGACCCGCUUCUUGAAAUCGAAUUCUAGUGGCCCCAUCACCGUUGGUUGCGUGGAAAAUGCAGCAGGAAAGAAGUCAUCGUGUGCUCGAGUGUCUCCAGAAAUUAUACCAGCGUCGCUGUCGCUUUCAUUUGGACUGUCAGAGUGACUGUCUACUUGCAUGUUAUGCUUCUCCUGCAGGUCUUUGACAAAGGCAAGGGCUUCUUCAUGCUCGAUACCAGCCUCGUUCAUCAUGCUGCAAAGACAGACCGAGUUUUAAGGUUAUCAAUCAUAACUUUGUCAUGUUUUUGAACUGUGUUUUUGAUUCGAAAAACUAAACAGAAAAUUGAUAGUGCCCUUAUCCCCUGUCGAAGUUCUAUUGCUUUGAACAAUGGGAAAUUUCCCUUAGAUUAGAUCAGAUUAGACAUUCCCCUCUUCCUGCUCCCCUCCCAACCCCUCUCCUCUUAUCACUAGGUAUGAAGCUUGUUGCUAAAUAUGCUGCCAAGAGACCAUUGAUGCAAUCAUAGGCAUAUGAUAGGGAACGACACAUACAGAUGGGUGUGCAGGUUUAUAGUAAUUCUUUUAUAGGAAGGGUUGCUCAAUUCUCUUAACGAAAGGUGGACUAAGCUAGAAUCACUGUUCAAAUGUAGCUAUCUGUUUGCGCACCCCAAAUUAUUAGGAAAAAGUUGUUAAUGUCACCUUGUUUCUGGCAGCUCCUCCAGCGACAUUGCCGUGUCCGUUAUAAAACUAGGGUGGCUGUUACAACUGUCAUCCUCCUCGUCGUCGCUCAUAGCACUGUCAUGUGCUGCUUGUGCUAUUAUAAAUGAUGAGGCUUUGGACUUCUUUUCUAAAAAGAGGUUAUAUCCAUGAUUAUGUACAGACCUACAUACAAAUAAUCACUUUAGGUGGUGUAGAUUUUUGAUUUGAAUAGUUCUUCUCUUUGUUCUCUAACUGUGACUGGCCUCCUGUUCAGUAGCACAAGAUUUAGCUACGUGUUAUUGAUCAGGUCUUUAAAUGACUUUGUAGAUAUUUCAUAUAAAAGUCGUUAAAAAUGUUGCAUUUUACGUUGAAAUGUUGAUAACGUUUUGAUUAAAGUUUAAAAAUGAUUUUUGUAGAAUAUAUUAGUAAACAAUCUUUGCAAGGUAUCUGUUCAUUGUUGAAAAGUCUUUUUGAAAAGAGGGGAGGGCGGGGGGAGGGCUUUUUCAAGCGUACCCAGGCGACUGGCAAUAUAGGGCUUUAUAGCUGAUUUACUUACUUGAAAAACUCGCCAUAAAUAUACAUAUCAUAUGUUUGUAUAGAUAAACUUGCACUUGAAAUUAAAUAAGUAAGUUUCAAUUUGUUUUAGCAGUCGUCGAAGAACAAAUGUAGGUAUAUAUUUAUAUAUAUAGAUAUGUGCCUGCUUCAAGAAUUUAAUGAUGAUAAUAAAAAAAUAUUCACGUCUACAUUUGACUGAUAAAAGCAGACCCAGCUUAGCCAUGUUGAUAGCGUUUUGCUUAAAGUUUAAGAGUGAUUUUUGUAGAGUAAAUUGGUAAACAAUCCUUGCAAGGUAUCUGUUCAUUGUUGAAAAGUCUUUUUGAAAAGAGGGGAGGGCGGGGGGAGGUCUUUUUCAAGCGUACCCAGGCGACUGGCAAUAUAGGGCUUUAUUGCUGAUUUACUUACUUGAAAAACUCGCCAUAAAUAUACAUAUCAUAUGUUUGUAUAGAUAAACUUGCACUUGAAAUUAAAUAAGUAAGUUUCAAUUUGUUUUGGCAGUCGUCAAUGAACAAAUGUAGGUAUAUAUUUAUAUAUAUAGAUAUGUGCCUGCUUUAAGAAUUUAAUGAUGAUAAUAAAAAAAUAUUCACGUCUACAUUUGACUGAUAAAAGCAGACCCAGCUUAGCCAUGUUGAUAGCGUUUUGCUUAAAGUUUAAGAGUGAUUUUUGUAGAAUACAUUGGUAAACAAUC